This 263-nucleotide ribosomal RNA is filed under the name Alexandrium margalefii. Its description in RNAcentral is "partial Bacterial large subunit ribosomal RNA". It matches the Rfam family "Bacterial large subunit ribosomal RNA", at positions 1285 to 1655 of the family's 2925-position model. The record is from RNAcentral. Lineage: Eukaryota; Dinophyceae; Gonyaulacales; Pyrocystaceae.
CGAGUGAGAAUUCUGACAUGAGUAGCGAUAAAGAGUGUGAAAACACUCUCGCCGAAAUCCCAAGGGUUCCUGCGCAAGGCUAAUCCGCGCAGGGUGAGUCGGCCCCUAAGCCGAGGGCGAAAGCCGUAGGCGAUGGGAAUCAGGUGAAUAUUCCUGAACCAGACGGUGGUGACGAAUAGCGGUAGCUGUACGGACUUAACGGAUUGUCUGUGCAGUCAAGUUGUUCCAGGAAAUAACCCCGUCAUAAGACCGUACCCGAAACC